CCCAGAUAAUAGCUUAAUUGGUUACAGCGUGGUGUUGACAAUGCCACGGUUGCAGGUUUGAUCCCCGCAUGGGA
This is a non-coding RNA of Podarcis lilfordi (Lilford's wall lizard), 74 nucleotides long. Lineage: Eukaryota; Metazoa; Chordata; Lepidosauria; Squamata; Lacertidae. The record is from the annotation of a GenBank genome assembly.